Molecule: unclassified non-coding RNA, 328 nt
Filed under: soil metagenome
Description: partial contains 5.8S ribosomal RNA, internal transcribed spacer 2, and large subunit ribosomal RNA
Rfam family: 5.8S ribosomal RNA (bases 1-120)
Source: RNAcentral
GAUGAAGAACGCAGUGAAAUGCGAUAAGUAAUGUGAAUUGCAGAAUUCAGUGAAUCAUCGAAUCUUUGAACGCACAUUGCGCCCUCUGGUAUUCCGGGGGGCAUGCCUGUUCGAGCGUCAUUAUAACCACUCAAGCUCUCGCUUGGUAUUGGGGUUCGCGGUUCCGCGGCCCCUAAAAUCAGUGGCGGUGCCUGUCGGCUCUACGCGUAGUAAUACUCCUCGCGAUUGAGUCCGGUAGGUCUACUUGCCAGCAACCCCCAAUUUUUACAGGUUGACCUCGGAUCAGGUAGGGAUACCCGCUGAACUUAAGCAUAUCAAUAACGGAGGA